This 488-nucleotide ribosomal RNA is filed under the name uncultured bacterium. RNAcentral's name for it is "partial 16S ribosomal RNA". It matches the Rfam family "Bacterial small subunit ribosomal RNA", at positions 355 to 859 of the family's 1533-position model. The record is from RNAcentral.
UGGGGAAUAUUGCACAAUGGGCGAAAGCCUGAUGCAGCAACGCCGCGUGAGUGAUGAAGGUCUUCGGAUUGUAAAGCUCUGUCUUUUGGGACGAUAAUGACGGUACCAAAGGAGGAAGCCACGGCUAACUACGUGCCAGCAGCCGCGGUAAUACGUAGGUGGCGAGCGUUGUCCGGAUUUACUGGGCGUAAAGGGUGCGUAGGCGGAUGUUUAAGUGAGAUGUGAAAUACCCGGGCUUAACUUGGGUGCUGCAUUUCAAACUGGAUAUCUAGAGUGCAGGAGAGGAGAAUGGAAUUCCUAGUGUAGCGGUGAAAUGUGUAGAGAUUAGGAAGAACACCAGUGGCGAAGGCGAUUCUCUGGACUGUAACUGACGCUGAGGCACGAAAGCGUGGGUAGCAAACAGGAUUAGAUACCCUGGUAGUCCACGCCGUAAACGAUGAGUACUAGGUGUAGGAGGUAUCGACCCCUUCUGUGCCGCAGUAAACACA